This is a long non-coding RNA of Mangifera indica (mango), 755 nucleotides long. RefSeq lists it as uncharacterized. Lineage: Eukaryota; Viridiplantae; Streptophyta; Magnoliopsida; Sapindales; Anacardiaceae. The transcript has 2 exons. The record is from RefSeq and is a predicted model, not a curated record.
GCAACGUGGCAAUUUUUUAUUGGACCCCAGAUUCAGUACUUGCAGAUGCCUUUCGUUAUUUUUGUGUAUAUAUAUAUAUAUUUAUUAAAAUGCUGCGAAAACAUAGGGAGAGAUAUCUUUGAAACAAGUAUCGGUCGAGAUCCGGCGAUUUUCGUCGGAUUUCGUCCAAUUUUCGCUCUAACUUUUCAUAAAAUAAGAUGAAGGGGUCCAGCGCUCUGGUUGCUACGGUGGUGGUUGCCUCCACCGUGGCUCUCACGUCAUCUUCCUCUACUAGAGAAGCUGAUAUGAGGAAGGGAUUUUGUUCAUCUGAGCGAAAUGGUCAGCCGAGUAGCAGUACAUCGUCAGAAAAGGAGAAAUUCGCGCCAAGAUUUGACGGAUUGAGGUUCAUAGAGACAUUAGUAACUGCCCACAGGUGAAACUCACAAUUGAAUAGCCCACCGGCCUUCGUUGUGGUUUGUAGUCUUAGAUACUAAUUUUUUUUUCUUUUGGGUUAUUAAGAGUAAAUCAAUGAGUCUUUUUUGUGCUUGGGGCCGGGGCCUUUUUGUUUAUUGAUGAGAUCAGUUCCAAAGCGUGAGGGUAGCAAUUUGUUUUGUCAUUGUACUCUUGUUGAUUUGGAUCUUAAUAGCGUGGCAUCUUUACUUAGUGGGGUGAAGGUUUUAGCUUUCUGUCCGUAUUAGAUGCUUGGAAAUUACGCAUACAACCUGUUUGCUAAAAUAAUUGUUUUUAUUAAUAAUAUAUUAAAUUUUUAAUUUUAA